RNAcentral lists this unclassified non-coding RNA (334 nucleotides) under soil metagenome. Its description in RNAcentral is "partial contains 5.8S ribosomal RNA, internal transcribed spacer 2, and large subunit ribosomal RNA". The stretch from base 1 to 120 matches the Rfam family "5.8S ribosomal RNA", at positions 35 to 154 of the family's 154-position model. The record is from RNAcentral.
GAUGAAGAACGUAGAGAAAUGCGAUACGUAAUGUGAAUUGCAGAAUUCAGUGAAUCAUCGAAUCUUUGAACGCACAUUGCGCCCGCCAGCACUCUGGCGGGCAUGCCUGUUCGAGCGUCAUUUCAACCAUCAAGCCCCAGGCUUGCGUUGGAGCCCUGCGGCUGCCGCAGCCUCCUAAAAGCAGUGGCGGGCUCGCUAUCACACCGAGUGCAGUAGAUUACUCUUCGCUCAGGGCGUGCAGCGGGUUCCGGCCGUGAAACCCCCUACUUUUAAAGGUUGACCUCGGAUCAGGUAGGAAUACCCGCUGAACUUAAGCAUAUCAAUAAGCGGAGGA